AGUGAACGCUGGCGGCGUGGCUUAGGCAUGCAAGUCGAGCGCGAAAGUCUUCGGAUGAGUAGAGCGGCGAAAGGGUGAGUAAUGCAUAGACAACCUACCCCAAGGACCGGAAUAACUACUGGAAACGGUAGCUAAUGCCGGAUGGUCUUGCGAGGCGGCAUCGCCUUGCAAGUAAAUGGUUGCUUCCGGGCUUCUGCCAUGGGAGGGGUCUAUGUCCUAUUAGCUAGUUGGUGAGGUAACGGCUCACCAAGGCGACGAUGGGUAGCCGGACUGAGAGGUCGAUCGGCCACACUGGAACUGAGACACGGUCCAGACUCCUACGGGGGGCAGCAGUGAGGAAUAUUGGGCAAUGGACGAAAGUCUGACCCAGCAACGCCGCGUGGAGGAUGAAGGUUUUUGGAUUGUAAACUCCUUUUGUGGGGGAAGAGUGAGGACGGUACCCCAAGAUAAGUCACGGCUAACUACGUGCCAGCAGCCGCGGUAAUGCACGAUGU
RNAcentral lists this ribosomal RNA (494 nucleotides) under uncultured bacterium. Its description in RNAcentral is "bacterial SSU rRNA". It matches the Rfam family "Bacterial small subunit ribosomal RNA", at positions 29 to 532 of the family's 1533-position model. The record is from RNAcentral.